GACGUAGGUGGCGAACGUUAUCCGGAAUCAUUGGGCGUAAAGGGUGCGUAGAUGGCAUGAUAAGUUAUUAGUGGGAAAUCGAGGCUCAACCUCGUGGAAGCUAGUAAUACUGUUUUGCUUGAGUGCAGAAGAGGUUAACGGAAUUCCAUGUGGAGCGGUAAAAUGUGUAGAUAUAUGGAAGAACAUCAAUAACGGCGAAGGCAGUUAACUAUUCUGCUACUGACACUGAGGCACGAAAGCGUGGGGAGCAAAACGG
This 256-nucleotide ribosomal RNA is filed under the name uncultured bacterium. RNAcentral describes it as "partial 16S ribosomal RNA". It matches the Rfam family "Bacterial small subunit ribosomal RNA", at positions 524 to 776 of the family's 1533-position model. The record is from RNAcentral.